Molecule: microRNA precursor, 83 nt
Filed under: Bombyx mori (domestic silkworm)
Lineage: Eukaryota; Metazoa; Arthropoda; Insecta; Lepidoptera; Bombycidae
Description: mir-2807 microRNA precursor family
Rfam family: mir-2807 microRNA precursor family
Source: Rfam by way of RNAcentral
UUAACUCAAAUUUGUAUAGAGUUGGAAGGUUUGCUAAGUUUGCCGCUAGGGACGCUGUUCCAACUUCUUACAAAUUGGAGUUA